UUAGAGUAUGGACAGAUUAAACCAGAUAUGGUCUCUUAGCUGAGCAAUAUAUAAGGAGUCAAAAGUGUGGAGUCUGUAUGAUCUUUUCUGGAGGAUCCGUCAUACAUUUGCAUCUUGUUUCUGUCUUUAAUCCCCCAAUUUAACUUGUCAUAUAUCAUUCUUCCUGCUGUGUGUCUUAUCAAACACUAGGUGGCAGCCUCAUUACAUUAGUGGCACAGAAGUACAACUACACCUGGUUUAACUGCACAGUUCCAUGAAAUAUUCAUAAAAUUGUUAAAUUAUAAGUUAUGAAUAAUUAAUAGCAAAAAAAAAAUGUCUUCUCGGUUAAUGCUAUUUUGGAGGAUAAAAACCAUCCUGGUUUAUGUUUCCUGACCUCUGCAUAACUCAUCAUCACAUGACCUUAGCUUAGUUCCUAGUUCAUUGAAAUCUUGCAUCAGCGCGGAAAAUCUCUUUAAAAAGGUUUCAUCCAUCAGUUGUUUAUAACAGGCACGAUUUAGAUUGACAAACUUUAAAAUAUGUGAUUUCGAGGGUCAUUUUCUGCAUGUUAAAACAAGCGUGUUGGUAUUUUUAAAAUUAAGCGGUGCCACUGGUUUCCGGUUGAGGACGUCAGCCCAGUCCAUCAUUUGGCGGGUAACAAAGGAGCAGCGUGCAGGCGAUGUGGGAACAACGGAAAACUAUAAUUUGGCGGUGGUGUUGUACGUAGUAUAUUUUUAACUGGUUAUGUUUUUAAGGUUUUGAACGGCUCGAUGAUGAAGAAAUGAUGUCAGUAGGGCACAGAUUGUUUUUUUUUUUUGUUUUUUUUUAUCUCUCUUGUAAUCUGUUCAGAGUAAUGGCGUCAAACCAUUUGCCGGUCAUUCACCCAGCAAUAAUGUUAUAGGUAACACAAGGGAAGCAGUUUAUCAUUGUUGUAUUGUUAUUUAUCAGAUUUAACUUAGGCAUUAAAGUUUGUGUGAGGCAAGUUUACAUGUAAAAGUCUAAUAUGUAGUCUAACAAGUAUUUAACGUCAUGAUUUGUAUCUAUAGUGUUAUUAUUUUUAACAGGUUUUCUAACUUUAUUUUAAGUAACGCUGUACACCUUGACUGCAAGGCCACCAGCAAUGGUAACCGGAUGCUUUACGGCGUAUCGAACUGAUCUCAUCCCUUAGACUUCAAGGGAGCUCAGUGUGACUACUGGUGGAACGAUGGAAAUAUCAUGCUUGCAACCAAUUUCAGCAACAACAAAAGUACACUGGUGAUGAGUCACAGCUUUGACACUCUGGAGGUCUCUGGAUGCCUUUCAAAGGUCUCCUGGAUUCAACAGUGCUGGUUACACUGGUUACAGAUGAGGGGCCUGAUAUAUUAUGAAGCGAACUGUAGCACAACAUGUGUCAGCAAGGACUUGCUUCAUGAAGACAACACUACCCCUAAAGAUGAAGGUGAAACACUGAAUUUAUUUCUCAUCAUAUGGUGCUUGAUGACAGAGAGUAGGAAAAGGAACUGUGUGAGAUGUUCAAAUUAUGUGAUGCUAUCUGUUGCUAAAUGGACAGUCACACUUUGGGAAUGGAGCUAUUAUUGGAUCCCUGGGACUGGUAGUACCGAUCAUUUACCUGGUCUACAAAUUCAGAAAACACAGGAUGCUUAGCUGCAGCCUCUCUGGACGUCAGUACAGCAAUGUGUAACAGGAAAAUCAUCUUCCAGGACAAUCCAACGUGUAGAAGGGAGGAUUUCUGCUCAAAGAGUUUUCCUGAUUUCCUUUGUGUCCAUUUUCCACUAGAUAUUUCUUCUGCAUUAUUACUAUAGAUGAAAUCAUGAAACUUUAAAUGAUUUAUGGACUAAUAGCUGACAUAGUUGUCUACACUCCUUAGCUACAACCUAAACUACUGUCUGUUACCAACUACUACUAUCUGCACACUACUACUGUUAGUAAACACUCCCCUAUAUGUAUUUAUGCUUUUUUAUUACCAGGCUUUCCUGUUAUAACUACAUACAUUGAUUAGAUGUUUUAAAACAAUAUUUACCUUAAAAUAACUUUUUUUUAGCAAGCAAAGCCAUAAGUUAUGUGCCAUUUAUUUGAGAAAUAGGAUUUCUCCAAUUUAAACAACAAAGGUUCCCAUCUUGUCCUUUAUUUGUUUUGAAAUUGGAUCUUCGACCACAAAUGCCAGAUUUGUUUUGCACACAGAUCACUAUUAAUGUUUCAUAUUUAAUUAGCUUGUCCACCUUGAUGUUUUAGAGGCUGUGGAAGCCUCUUUGCUGCACCAGUGUGUGCCCUCUGAGAGCCAUUGGCAGUGUUGUAGUUUCCCCAGGUCCCCUCUGAACUCCCCCCUCCUUCAGCUGGAACUAACACUUAAAGCUGUGGAAGCUUGGAGACCAAGUAAAACACCAAGGAAUGUUCCUUCAGCGUCCUGCAGCAUUAUGACUUAUGUUAUUAAAUUAUAUAUUGUGUAUAUAACCUAUUCACUUAAAAGUAAUAGCUGAUAUUAUUGAUAGCUGUUAAUAUAACACAAGAUAAAAGCAUUAAUUAUGAUUAUAUAGUAUGACGUACAUACAGGAGGCUUGUAUGUGCAGUGAUGGUACUGUCCUCAUUGCAUUCAUUCUAGUGUAAUGAGAUCAUGUCCACUCAUUUUUUAUCACUGUAUCACCUUUCAUAAACCUCUCUUUAUUCUCAUUUUUAUUAUAUCUUAUUAAAUAAUCAUGCUGUUAGACAAAAAGUGUCUGUGCUUUGUAGUAGCCAGUGUACAGUUCGGGUUAAAAGCUUGCUUCACUCAUCAUCUUUGCUUUUUAUUAGAUUUUGGUAGAAUGGUUACAUAACCAUAAAUGUCCAUUUUAAAAUAAGUACCGGAUGAACAAGUUUAAAUUUAUCAUGACUUUUCACUGAUUCACACAUGGUCAAAUAGGCAGUUAUAUUCAAUAAAUUUGAAUGUUCUGAUGCAGCUUGUUUGUCAGAUUUAAAGUAACAGGUUUCAUUAAGCCCACAUUUCUGUAUUGAAUGCUUUUUUUUUUAUUGAUCUGGUGUAAUCUAAUCUUAAAUGUUUUUCUUUAGCUGUAAGUACAACAUAAAGGCCUGAAAGCAUCA
Girardinichthys multiradiatus is the source of this 3051-nucleotide long non-coding RNA. RefSeq lists it as uncharacterized. NCBI's taxonomy places the organism in Eukaryota, Metazoa, Chordata, Actinopteri, Cyprinodontiformes, Goodeidae. The record is from RefSeq and is a predicted model, not a curated record. The transcript has 5 exons.